GUGGUGAGGGAGGAUGCAGGCUGCUGAAGUCUCAGUACUGCUCCUAGACACAGGUGAAGGGACCCACAGGCUGUUUCCGUUGCUCUCCGGGGAUCUGCGGUUUAUACAAAGGUGCUCUGAACAUGCAGUUUUAACCUCUACUGAUUCAAGGACUCCGUCAUCAUCCCAUUUUCCAGGAACCGUGGGAAGGCUUAGAAUGGAUUGAAGCACUCUUCCUCUUCCAGGACUUGGGGUAAGUUUCUUUGCA
Molecule: long non-coding RNA, 247 nt
Organism: Neofelis nebulosa (Clouded leopard)
Lineage: Eukaryota; Metazoa; Chordata; Mammalia; Carnivora; Felidae
Exons: 3
Source: RefSeq, a predicted model, not a curated record